GUGCUUGCUUCGUCAGUACAUGUACUAAAAUUGGAAUGCUACAGAGAAGAUUAGCAUGGCCCCUUUGCAAGGAUGACACACAAAUUUGUGAAGCGUUUCAUAUUUUU
Molecule: small nuclear RNA, 107 nt
Filed under: Moschus moschiferus (Siberian musk deer)
Lineage: Eukaryota; Metazoa; Chordata; Mammalia; Artiodactyla; Moschidae
Source: RNAcentral